AUAACAAACUCAUAAGGUUAGUAAAGUUUAAGGCGGUUAGCAAUUCUCAUUUCUGGGGGGGUGCUUAUGAGUGUAACAACUCUGCAACGCAUUCUAAAGAAAGGAAUUUGCAAAAUGUCUGUUUAUGAAACGCUAAGCCUAAUGAUUGCUUUUGCGACAUUAAUCGUGCUAGUGAAUAAUAAUA
RNAcentral lists this small RNA (184 nucleotides) under Enterococcus cecorum. RNAcentral's name for it is "Listeria sRNA rli28". It matches the Rfam family "Listeria sRNA rli28". The record is from RNAcentral. Lineage: Bacteria; Bacillati; Bacillota; Bacilli; Lactobacillales; Enterococcaceae.